CACAGAGUGACGUCCAGAGCUCUGCUGGAGCUGUGGGGAAGUUCAUGAAUGUUAUAGUUGAUGUUUCAGAAAAAAGGAAGAUGUUUGAGAACCAACAAAACACAGACCACAGAUGAACAAAGGUGAUGUGGCACUAGGAGACUUUAUACCAGAUGCCCUCCCUGUUACUGUGUUUAGAGGAAGAAAAGCAGCACAUGAGACCAGAGCUUCACUGGAAUAAAUCUUCACACUGUCCAGCUCCAAACUGUGUGUCUCUGUCCCUGUGCUCUCUUUGUGUUUGAUUCUGUUUAAGACAAUACAGAACUGUGGAAAACUAAA
Molecule: long non-coding RNA, 318 nt
Organism: Boleophthalmus pectinirostris (great blue-spotted mudskipper)
Lineage: Eukaryota; Metazoa; Chordata; Actinopteri; Gobiiformes; Gobiidae
Exons: 3
Source: RefSeq, a predicted model, not a curated record